Molecule: long non-coding RNA, 1370 nt
Organism: Pectinophora gossypiella (pink bollworm)
Lineage: Eukaryota; Metazoa; Arthropoda; Insecta; Lepidoptera; Gelechiidae
Exons: 2
Source: RefSeq, a predicted model, not a curated record
UCACUUCAUUCACCAGUCUUGACGAGGCCCUCUGCGCGCGUGCCAAAUUAUAUGUUUAUAUUUUUUAUAUUCAUUUUCAUCUUUUUUGUGCAGUGAUUGAUAGAUAUAUAGAAAUAUGUUUAUGUCAUAUCAAGUGAUGGCUACGUUUGGAGUCUCUGCUCUCCUCUCGUUCGCACUCUCCACGACGCUACUGCUGGUACUGGCAGCCAAGAGGGGGUACCUGCGAGCGGGCUACAGACCCAAGGGAGGGCAAGUCUUACUCCCUCCUUCUCAGCCGAAACCCAUCAUCGCUGAACUCACACCGCUCAAGCAGUAGUUGUGAUUGUGAUGGACUUGGGAGAACAAGUCUUCGAGAUUUCUAGAGUAAUCAAGAAACGCAAAUUAUUAUAAGCGACCAAAAAUGUGUGUUUAAAACUUGGUUUAGCAAGCAUGGAUGUGCAGAUUAUCUGCGGGCUAACAUUUAUUAUUUAUCAUAAUGUGAAUGAAGAAAACUGAAAUUACUUAAUCUGUAAAUUAUAAUGUUUAAAAUAAAUUAGGUAUUAGAUAUAUAUAAAUUCUUCGCCACGUAACAGGAAGCAACAAAAUCCAGCAUUACCAAAAUGUUACGACAAAAUCGACCUCAAAUGUAACACUGGUACCCAAAACGUCACAUGUUUCAGAGCACAAUUGUAAAUCACAGAAUGUGACUUAUAUUUUUAUGUUUCCGAAUUGGAAUAAAACUGCGGAAGGCGUCCGGUGGUCGGAUUUUAUCGGGGUUUUACUUAUUGGCAGCUUCGAGCGCCAACUUCAGGUUUUACACUCGAAAUUUUUAGGAUUUUAUUCGUACCACGAACUUUUCCAGCCGUACAGGUGCAUAAAACGCCAAGGAAUCCGAUUUUCAUGCUUUGUCUGUGUCCUAAAGUAUGUUUUCUAAGAUUGCGAGCUAGAAUAUUGACGAUAAUAUUAUGCAUAAGGUUACAUUGAAGGAGGUUUGAUAGUAAAGCAAUAGCGCGCUUUGCAACAUCGUAUGUUCAUGUGAUCUGAAUUUGUUUUCAAAUUGUUGCACCAAAAUUUAAAAGUUUAUAACUGAUUGACUGACUUUUCGAGUGUACAGACAAAAUUGUUGCGAACGUUUUAAAAAAAAUAACCUCUAAAGGUAUGAGAGGGAUUCUAAAUGGAUUAAAUUGUGCAACUAGUAUUAUAACAUUCUCGAAUUUUUAGAAUAGAAUUUAUAUUUAUAUUUCAAAAAGACACAUAACAUUACGUAUUAUUACCUGUAUUCUGAAGUAUUAAGGUGCCAUGUGAAUUCCAAAAUUGUUUAUUUAAUUGUAAGUGUUGUGAUAUCGUGUAUUUGUUCUUCGCGUCGGUUUUUAAAUAAAAUAUUAAGAUUA